Molecule: ribosomal RNA, 274 nt
Filed under: uncultured bacterium
Lineage: Bacteria
Description: partial 16S ribosomal RNA
Rfam family: Bacterial small subunit ribosomal RNA
Source: RNAcentral
AUACAGGGGGUGCGAGCGUUAAUCGGAAUUACUGGGCGUAAAGAGUACGUAGGCGGUUGCUUAAGUCAGAUGUGAAAGCCCCGGGCUCAACCUGGGGACUGCAUUUGAAACUGAGUGACUAGAGUUUAAGAGAGGGGAGUAGAAUUCCGGGUGUAGCGGUGAAAUGCGUAGAGAUCCGGAGGAAUACCAGUGGCGAAGGCGGCUCCCUGGCUUAAAACUGACGCUGAGGUACGAAAGCGUGGGUAGCAAACAGGAUUAGAAACCCUAGUAGUCC